This 253-nucleotide ribosomal RNA is filed under the name uncultured bacterium. Its description in RNAcentral is "partial 16S ribosomal RNA". It matches the Rfam family "Bacterial small subunit ribosomal RNA", at positions 524 to 776 of the family's 1533-position model. The record is from RNAcentral.
UACAGAGGUCCCAAGCGUCGUUCGGAUUCAUUGGGCGUAAAGGGUGCGUAGGCGGCGCGGUAAGUCGGGUGUGAAAUCUCGGGGCUUAACUCCGAAACUGCAUUCGAUACUGCCGUGCUUGAGGACUGGAGAGGAGACUGGAAUUUACGGUGUAGCGGUGAAAUGCGUAGAUAUCGUAAGGAAGACCAGUGGCGAAGGCGGGUCUCUGGACAGUUCCUGACGCUGAGGCACGAAGGUCAGGGGAGCAAACGGG